This 305-nucleotide ribosomal RNA is filed under the name uncultured bacterium. Its description in RNAcentral is "bacterial SSU rRNA". It matches the Rfam family "Bacterial small subunit ribosomal RNA", at positions 336 to 658 of the family's 1533-position model. The record is from RNAcentral.
UUCCUACGGGAGGCAGCAGUGGGGAAUAUUGCACAAUGGGGGAAACCCUGAUGCAGCGACGCCGCGUGAGUGAAGAAGUAUUUCGGUAUGUAAAGCUCUAUCAGCAGGGAAGAAAAUGACGGUACCUGACUAAGAAGCCCCGGCUAACUACGUGCCAGCAGCCGCGGUAAUACGUAGGGGGCAAGCGUUAUCCGGAUUUACUGGGUGUAAAGGGAGCGUAGACGGCCAGACAAGUCAGAUGUGAAAGCCCGGGGCUCAACCCCGGUACUGCAUUUGAAACUGUCCAGCUGGAGUGCAGGAGAGGU